Molecule: transfer RNA, 75 nt
Filed under: Acidobacteriota bacterium
Lineage: Bacteria; Pseudomonadati; Acidobacteriota
Also listed under: 1 other name
Description: Acidobacteria bacterium (activated sludge metagenome) tRNA-Arg
Rfam family: tRNA
About the family: Transfer RNA (tRNA) molecules are approximately 80 nucleotides in length. Their secondary structure includes four short double-helical elements and three loops (D, anti-codon, and T loops).
Source: RNAcentral
GGAACCGUAGCUCAGAAGGAUCAGAGCAUGAGUCUUCUAAACUCAUUGUCGCAGGUUCAAGUCCUGCCGGUUUCG